This is an RNA transcript of Eurytemora carolleeae, 629 nucleotides long. It is a transcript of the gene named trigger factor, with no coding region annotated. The transcript has 6 exons. Lineage: Eukaryota; Metazoa; Arthropoda; Copepoda; Calanoida; Temoridae. The record is from RefSeq and is a predicted model, not a curated record.
GGUAUUUAGAAUCAGAGCUAGUUGGGUUAUGUCCUGGUUGAACUGAUAGCUUGUUGGAUGGUACGCUUGUGUCCCUGUGUGGCAUUUAGAGCCAGGUGGAUUAUGUCCUGGUUGACCCUAAUAGUGGACGGAUUGUACCUGGAUAGAUACGUUUCGAGAACUUCUUAUGCAUUAGUUUUGUGAAGAAUGAUUUGACCCGCGUGGAUGUGCAGGGAAUAUGCGCCGGUCAAGGAGACAGGAAACCCAGGUUCUCCGGGUACACUGAUACACAGAGCAGUCAAUCAUAUACUCAGAAUGCGGUAUCUCGACCUCCUAGUUCUCUUGUUCUGUGUUCUCCUCCUGGUUUACUAUGUGGAGGCUAGAGAUACUGAUGGAGAUGGAAUCCUAGAUGCAGAUGAUGAUGAUGAUGACAAUGAUGGUAUCCCUGAUGCUGAGGACCCUGAUGAUGAUAAUGAUGGUAUUCUAGAUGAAGAUGACGCGGACUGGGGGAACGAUGAACUCUGAAAAUGAUCGAAAAAAUUUAUAAAUUUUGUUCAUUUAAAAAAAAUUAAUUUAAUCAUCAAAAUAUUCCAAUUAUAAUAUUCAUGUUAUAUUCAUUAUCAUUCAAUAAUAAAGUUAUAAAAGAGUAA